AAUCCAAAGAAGGUCAAGACAUCCAUCCAGAACAAAUUAAGGCAGUGUUGCUGGACUCUGCUGGCUUCCAUGGGAUGAUAUAAGCUUUUGCGGUUUUCAACGAGAGGUUCUAUCCAAGAUUUUGGACCUGAUGCUCUAGCUUCUAAAAGUCAGACUUCCUAUGCUCCUUUUGCAUUUACAGAUAUUUUCAUCUGUUAGCCAUUAUAUUGUGUUUUCUAUAGGAAAAACAUUGAGCGUAUGCUCAGAAAACUGAAUGCUAUGAAUUUUUCAGUGACAAGUUCCUUAUUCUGGAUGAUCCUUCUUUAUUCAGUCAUUGUUUACAUGCCAGGCAUUGUAUGGAACGCAGCUACCUUUUGUGUAAGCUGACAAGUCUCCAAUAUGAAUGAAUGACCCAUCGGUUGACUUCAAUUUUGCACUAAUAACUGUAUUUACUCGCUGUAGUUGAGCUCCUCUUUUGUUCUUACCAUGAAAAUAUUGCUGGAAGAUAUACUUUUUUCCCGGGGUCUUUCGAAACAACCUCUCCUUUUUGAAGGUGGGGCCAAGGUCCGUCCCCGGACCCCACUUGUUGUUAUCUACUUUUUCCACAAUGAUUAUGCAAGGUCCUCUUUACGGGGGUUGAUAUUUGGUUGCCUACGGCAAAAAUAAGCGGUUCGGUUUUACCGCCAUCAAGGCGCUUCGAAGAAACUGCCCCCGAAGGCUCGAAGCUUAGCUUGGUGCUCUAGCUUUGAGGGUUCUCAGUGAUCUACUUCGAAGAUAGCGUAGGCAAUGGCCGGCCUCGAGGCAGGGUAAAUCAGUGGCAUCGGAGGAUCGGUGUGAGGUUCCCAAGGCACGUGACUACCGCUGACAAAGUCUAUUAAAAUAGUCCAAACUCGUACCAUGGCAUUAAAUAGCUGUACUAGCCUCAUAUCUUUAUAAUAAAUGCGUUUGUACUAUGUUCAGAUUCCUCCUCAUAUAUAAAGGGGACCCUUGUCAUUUUGUAGGAUCGGAU
This 988-nucleotide long non-coding RNA is filed under the name Nicotiana benthamiana. RNAcentral's name for it is "long non-coding RNA (NBEN_LNC017606)". The record is from RNAcentral. Lineage: Eukaryota; Viridiplantae; Streptophyta; Magnoliopsida; Solanales; Solanaceae.